Molecule: ribosomal RNA, 460 nt
Filed under: uncultured bacterium
Lineage: Bacteria
Description: partial 16S ribosomal RNA
Rfam family: Bacterial small subunit ribosomal RNA
Source: RNAcentral
CCUACGGGUGGCAGCAGUGAGGAAUAUUGGUCAAUGGACGAGAGUCUGAACCAGCCAAGUAGCGUGAAGGAUGACUGCCCUAUGGGUUGUAAACUUCUUUUAUAUGGGAAUAAAACGUUCCACGUGUGGGAUUUUGUAUGUACCAUAUGAAUAAGGAUCGGCUAACUCCGUGCCAGCAGCCGCGGUAAUACGGAGGAUCCGAGCGUUAUCCGGAUUUAUUGGGUUUAAAGGGAGCGUAGGUGGAUUGUUAAGUCAGUUGUGAAAGUUUGCGGCUCAACCGUAAAAUUGCAGUUGAAACUGGCAGUCUUGAGUACAGUAGAGGUGGGCGGAAUUCGUGGUGUAGCGGUGAAAUGCUUAGAUAUCACGAAGAACUCCGAGUGCGUAGGCAGUUCACUGGACUGCAACUGACACUGAGGCUCGAAAGUGUGGGUAUCAAACAGGAUUAGAUACCCUGGUAGUC